Molecule: long non-coding RNA, 2784 nt
Filed under: Drosophila guanche
Lineage: Eukaryota; Metazoa; Arthropoda; Insecta; Diptera; Drosophilidae
Source: RNAcentral
UCGACUUUUUCUUUAGUUUUUGUUUUAAUUUGUAAUUUAUCAACCGUUUCGGACUUACGGCUUUGGUUUUGUUUUGUUUUUGUGUGUUUUAGAAUUUAUUAUAUUAUAGUUAUGGUUUUAAAGGUUUUUUUUUUUGCUUAUUAGUUAUUGGUAGAUUAAUUCAACUUAUAUAAGUAGAUCAAUUUUACAUAUGAGGGCCAACCAUUUUGCACACAUUUAAACAUUAUUACAUCGUAAACUUAUCAUAAUAUCAUUAUCAUCAUGCUCCUUCCUUCUUACUGUUUCAGCAUCCAUUCUUCAUCGAAUUCCGUGUGUUUUUAUACAACAUUUAUUCUUUCUUAUUUUAAAACAAUCUUUAGUAGAACCAAUUGCCAAAUGUUAAUUUCUUCGUUUUGUUUUUUCUUUACUUUUGAAAAUAAUUUAAGCUCGAAUUUUUGUGGUGUUGAAUAAAAAACAUACGCAUACGAGUAUUAAUAAUGUAUUCUUUUUUUGUAUCACUAAGUCAACCAAUUGCUCACGUUUCAGAAUUUCUUGGAGUUUUGUUUUUUCAGCUUCUUAAGAACUAAAUGAUCCAUUCGAUCCAUUUACCCAGCAAUGGGUACCACGUCCAGAUUCCAUCCUCUACAGAUUUCCUUCUUCUUUUGGCUAUAAAAAUUAAAUUACAUGUUUUUGUUUGUUGUUUAGAUGUUUGUUGUUGUUGAACUUUUUGCACUAUUUUGUUGUUGCUGUUGUUGGGUGUGUUGUGUUAUUUUCGAUAAUUUUAAAUUACAACAAAUGAAUGUGUUAAUUUUUGGUAUAUUUUUUUAUUUUAGUAUAGUAUUUUUUUAUGUUUUACAAAGAUUCUUUCGUUUCGUAUCGUAUCAUUUUUUGUUUUUUGUUUUUGCUUUGUGGUGCUUGGCUAAGGCGACUUUUGUUUGGUUGUUUUUCACUUUUGUUUCGUUUCUCGUUUCUCUCUUCUCAUUUUUUCUGUUCUUUACACUUUUUGCAAUAUAUUUUCUUAUGCUUUUCUUUCUUUCCAUCGCAUUUUCACAUUUCUCAUUUACAUACACAAAAAGAGGAACAAUUUGCAUUUUGCAUUUGUAAUGGAAAUUUAAAUGAAAAUAAUAUUAACAAAAUUAGAAUAAAAAAUCUAAAGCGAUUUGCAAUUGACGAUAGAAAAUGAUAGAGAAAAAAUACCAUGUUUUAGUCAUCUUUAAGUUUGGUUUUUUUAGUAAAAAUUUGUGCUAGAAAUUCGGCUAUUAAAAUUAUUUAAGUUCGUACACAUCGAUCGAUCGCUUGAGAAAAAGUUUUACAUUUCAUUUUCAUUUUAUCGUUUUUCGUUUUGUUUUUUUCCUUUCGUUCGUUACAUUUUGUUUUGUUUUUCUUAUUUUUUUGUUUUGUUUUGGUUCGUUUUAACAUAUUCAGUCUUUCAGCUUUCAACACAUAAAUAAAUUAAUUAAAUUAAUUUAUUUGGAUUAGAUUUAAGAAAACAUUUCUGCUGUUUGCUGUUCUGCCUGUUUGUUGCCUGUAAAUAAUUUCGAGUUCUAUUGCAUUUAUGUGGUAAUUUCUCUCUUCGCUUGUCCUUGAUUCUGCCUUACGAUCCAUCCAUCCAUACAUAUGUCCGCCCUGUCCUCUCCUUCAUAAGUCCAGUUAAAGUUUAUAGCCAAAAACACGACAAAGUUCGUUUGUCUCUCUUGAGAAAAUUUCGAAAAAAUUUCACGUUUUUCUUUUUUGUCAAAGUUGGUUGUAAAAGCCAAAAGUUUUGCUUUUCUUUGCUUUCUUAUAUAAUCUUAGUGCUACGAUUUAUGGUUUUUUUUUACAUUUAAUGAGAGUAAUUAUUAUAUAUUUUAAUAUAUUUCUCCUCAAAUUCCUCCUUCCAUCCAUCCAUUGCGCGCAUUCUCCAUAAACUGCUUUUCGUUUUUUUUUUUCCAUAAUUUUAAAAACUUUUCAAGUGGACGAAGCAUCUCUUUCGUUCUCUUUUUGUUAUUCAAAAUUUUGUUUUUGAUUGAUUUUAAAUUUAAUCAUUAUAUAUAUAUAAGAAAAAUAUAAAAUUUUGUGUCUAAAUUCAGUUGUUUUUAGGAGUUUUUUCUCUUUCAAACUAAAAGAACUUUCCACACAGGUUUUUUCUUGCUUUUUUCAAAUAGUUGCUCUGUUUUUUAUAAUUAUUCUUUUAUAUUUUUUUUUUGGGUGGGGCUUACGUUAUCAUAGUUCUAUAUAGUCUUUCUUUCUUUCGUUCAUUGCUUUUCUUUUUCUAUACGCCAACAUAAAAAUUUGUUGUCAAAAUUGUUUCGUUUUUUGUUUGUUUUCGAUAUUUUCAUUCGAUUUUUUUUUUCUUACUGUAUAAACCGGUCUCUUGUUAAGGCAUCUGCUUUUUGUCACUGAAGUUUGUUCGUUUUUUGUAUUGUUUUCUUGUGUUAGUUUUUUGUUUGCAUUUUGGAAUUUAUUAAUUUUGUUGCUUUUUACAAUAUUUCUUGUCUUGUCUGCAUUUUGGAAUUUUGUGGUUUCAUUUAAUCUAUUUCAACUCAGGUGAUUUUUAUUCCAGAAAAAAUCUAAAGCUUCUGCCGAAAGAUAUCUUUUUGCCCAAAAGUUGUUUAAUUUGGAUUUUGGUUUGACUCCUAAAAACAACGAAAUAUGUUUGGGUUAUCAUUUAAGAUUAAUUUUGCUGUGCCUUAAGUGUAAAAUUUUUAAUUUUGAAAUUUUAUGUAUAUAUAUUUUUUUUGUAAUAUAUUACUAGACAAAGUUUUUAAUUUGGAAUUUAGGUUUUUUGUUUUUCUUAAAAUUUUCUUAAUUUAGUUUUACGUUUGC